GCCUGCCCAGUGACCCUGUUUAACGGCCGCGGUAUCCUAACCGUGCGAAGGUAGCGUAAUCACUUGUUCUCUAAAUGCGGACUAGUAUGAACGGCAUCACGAGGGUUAUACUGUCUCCUCUUUCUAAUCAGUGAAACUAAUCUCCCCGUGAAGAAGCGGGGGUAAAACUAUAAGACGAGAAGACCCUAUGGAGCUUUAAACAAUAUAGCACUUGCCUUUAGCAUAAAUUUCCAAAUUACUCCAAAGCAAUAUGACUAUAAGUUUUUGGUUGGGGUGACCACGGAGCAGAAUUUAACCUCCAUGUUGAAAGAAUUUAAGCUAAGAGUCACUCUUCUAAGCAUCAACAUAUUGACAUCAAUUGACCCAAUACAUUUGAACAACGAACCAAGUUACCCUAGGGAUAACAGCGCA
RNAcentral lists this ribosomal RNA (411 nucleotides) under Nectophrynoides tornieri (Tornier's forest toad). RNAcentral describes it as "partial 16S ribosomal RNA". It matches the Rfam family "Bacterial large subunit ribosomal RNA", at positions 1857 to 2484 of the family's 2925-position model. Lineage: Eukaryota; Metazoa; Chordata; Amphibia; Anura; Bufonidae. The record is from RNAcentral.